This 446-nucleotide ribosomal RNA is filed under the name uncultured bacterium. Its description in RNAcentral is "partial 16S ribosomal RNA". It matches the Rfam family "Bacterial small subunit ribosomal RNA", at positions 338 to 795 of the family's 1533-position model. The record is from RNAcentral.
CCUACGGGUGGCAGCAGUCAAGAAUCAUUCACAAUGGGGGAAACCCUGAUGGUGCGACGCCGCGUGGGGGAAUGAAGGUCUUCGGAUUGUAAACCCCUGUCAUGUGGGAGCAAAUUAAAAAGAUAGUACCACAAGAGGAAGAGACGGCUAACUCUGUGCCAGCAGCCGCGGUAAUACAGAGGUCUCAAGCGUUGUUCGGAAUCACUGGGCGUAAGGCGUGCGUAGGCUGUUUCGUAAGUCGUGUGUGAAAGGCGCGGGCUCAACCCGCGGACGGCACAUGAUACUGGGAGACUAGAGUAAUGGAGGGGGAACCGGAAUUCUCGGUGUAGCAGUGAAAUGCGUAGAUAUCGAGAGGAACACUCGUGGCGAAGGCGGGUUCCUGGACAUUAACUGACGCUGAGGCACGAAGGCCAGGGGAGCGAAAGGGAUUAGAUACCCGAGUAGUC